Long non-coding RNA from Acanthaster planci (crown-of-thorns starfish), 775 nucleotides. The record is from RefSeq and is a predicted model, not a curated record. Lineage: Eukaryota; Metazoa; Echinodermata; Asteroidea; Valvatida; Acanthasteridae.
CAAAGUAUUUAGCCAUGUCCAAGAAAUGAAAUUAAUCUCAGUUUCUUUUUUUUAAGCACACUGUAUUUGCCUUCUCGGCGCAGACAGUUGGCAAAGUCGAACCGUGCUCAACUUCGCCAAUCCAUCUGGUUUGCGUUAUAUCUUGGUAAUCAGCGAUACUUUUGUUAGACAUGUUUCCAUUUGUCUGUGUUAUAGUUUGCAUCUUGAUUGCAUUGCUCUCUGCGUUUCCUACGUUGAUGUGGAAACCAGGCUGUAGCUGUCUCAUUUCUUUCAUCACAGAAUUAUGAGAAGAAUAUCUGCUUGUACCAAUCAUGGUACUUCCUGCGCUGAUGAGCACUGUGGUUUUCUGCAUGUGAGAAGAGUUCAGGCUUAUUUUGGAAGGCAAUGUUACCAGUUGAAGAUGCUGUGAUGCCUUCCUGCGUUCUGGUAAAUACAUCUGUCAUCGUGGUGAGAUUGGACUGACCAGCAACGAAAUCUUCAAAUUUAAAGAUGCGGCUUACGUCAUUGGUUGCAGAAGCUCAUUCUGUGAAUGUGUUUCUAAGACAUCAUGCGUAUGCUGGAGGAGACAUCAUGCAUAUGCAGGAGGAGACAUCAUGCAUAUGCAGGAGGAGACAUCAUGCAUAUGCAGGAGGGGACAUCAUGCGUAUGCAGGAGGGGACAUCAUGCGUAUGCAGGAGGGGACAUCAUGCAUAUGCAGGAGGAGACAUCGUGCAUAUGCUGGAGGAGACAUCAUGCAUAUGCAGGAGGAGACAUCAUGCAUAUGCUGGAUGAGACA